CCCGCACAAGCGGUGGAGCAUGUGGUUUAAUUCGAUGCAACGCGAAGAACCUUACCUAGACUUGACAUCCCGGGAAUCCUUAGGAAACUAAGGAGUGCCUUUCGGGGAGCCCGGAGACAGGUGCUGCAUGGCUGUCGUCAGCUCGUGUCGUGAGAUGCUGGGUUAAGUCCCGCAACGAGCGCAACCCUUAUCCCCAGUUGCCAUCAGGUAAAGCUGGGAACUCUGGGGAGACUGCCGGUGAUAAACCGGAGGAAGGCGGGGAUGACGUCAAGUCCUCAUGGCCCUUACAUCCCGGGCUACACACGUGCUACAAUGGCAGGUACAGAGGGCUGCAAAGCCGCGAGGUAGAGCGAAUCCCAGAAAACCUGUCUCAGUCCGGAUUGAAGUCUGCAACUCGACUUCAUGAAGGCGGAAUCGCUAGUAACCGCGAAUCAGCAGGUCGCGGUGAAUACGUUCCCGGGCCUU
RNAcentral lists this ribosomal RNA (465 nucleotides) under uncultured Latescibacterota bacterium. RNAcentral's name for it is "bacterial SSU rRNA". It matches the Rfam family "Bacterial small subunit ribosomal RNA", at positions 920 to 1382 of the family's 1533-position model. The record is from RNAcentral. Lineage: Bacteria; Pseudomonadati; Candidatus Latescibacterota.